Molecule: ribosomal RNA, 243 nt
Filed under: uncultured bacterium
Lineage: Bacteria
Description: partial 16S ribosomal RNA
Rfam family: Bacterial small subunit ribosomal RNA
Source: RNAcentral
GCAAGCGUUGUUCGGAAUUACUGGGCGUAAAGGGCUCGUAGGCGGCCAACUAAGUCAGACGUGAAAUCCCUCGGCUUAACCGGGGAACUGCAUCUGAUACUGGAUGGCUUGAGUUCGGGAGAGGGAUGCGGAAUUCCAGGUGUAGCGGUGAAAUGCGUAGAUAUCUGGAGGAACACCGGUGGCGAAGGCGGCAUCCUGGACCGACACUGACGCUGAGGAGCGAAAGCCAGGGGAGCAAACGGG